This 424-nucleotide ribosomal RNA is filed under the name Verrucomicrobiota bacterium. RNAcentral describes it as "Verrucomicrobia bacterium partial 16S ribosomal RNA". It matches the Rfam family "Bacterial small subunit ribosomal RNA", at positions 355 to 776 of the family's 1533-position model. The record is from RNAcentral. Lineage: Bacteria; Pseudomonadati; Verrucomicrobiota.
UGAGGAAUAUUGGUCAAUGGACGCAAGUCUGAACCAGCCAAGUAGCGUGCAGGAUGACGGCCCUAUGGGUUGUAAACUGCUUUUAUAUGGGGAUAAAGUGGGGAACGUGUUCCCUUUUGCAGGUACCAUAUGAAUAAGGACCGGCUAAUUCCGUGCCAGCAGCCGCGGUAAUACGGAAGGUUCGGGCGUUAUCCGGAUUUAUUGGGUUUAAAGGGAGCGUAGGCCGUUUGGUAAGCGUGUUGUGAAAUGUAGGAGCUCAACUUCUAGAUUGCAGCGCGAACUGUCAGACUUGAGUGCGCACAACGUAGGCGGAAUUCGUCGUGUAGCGGUGAAAUGCUUAGAUAUGACGAGGAACUCCGAUUGCGAAGGCAGCUGACGGGAGCGGCACUGACGCUUAAGCUCGAAGGUGCGGGUAUCAAACAGG